RNAcentral lists this ribosomal RNA (253 nucleotides) under uncultured bacterium. RNAcentral's name for it is "partial 16S ribosomal RNA". It matches the Rfam family "Bacterial small subunit ribosomal RNA", at positions 524 to 776 of the family's 1533-position model. The record is from RNAcentral.
UACGAAGGGUGCAAGCGUUACUCGGAAUUACUGGGCGUAAAGCGUGCGUAGGUGGCGCGCUAAGUCGGGUGUGAAAUUUCGGAGCUUAACUCCGAAACUGCAUUCGAUACUGGCGUGCUUGAGGACUGGAGAGGAGACUGGAAUUCAUGGUGUAGCAGUGAAAUGCGUAGAGAUCAUGAGGAAGACCAGUGGCGAAGGCGGGUCUCUGGACAGUUCCUGACACUGAGACACGAAGGCCAGGGGAGCAAACGGG